UCCCAGAGAAAUGUCCCACAGCUGCUGUGACUAAAAGGAGGUGACAGACAGAAAAGGAGCAGAUAUGAACCAUCUGGAUUGAAAUAAUCUUUGGGCUUUUCUUGGCUAGGGUCAGCCUUGGAGCUCCCAUGUCAUCUAACUCCUCUGCAUUGUUCAAAAUGGCCUGAAGAACUUCUCAACACGGACAGUUGCCCAGGCCAGUCAGGUCCAAGGCCACCGCUGCUCGGGCUGUCAUCAGCUUGAUCUCCGCACCGGCCACCUCCAGGCGUGCUUUCCUGUUUUCUUGGGCUGCUAUAACCAAGUACCAUAGACCGGGCGCUUACAGUAGAUGUAUCCCAUGUGGUAGAUUCAUAGCAGAAAUCGAUCCUGUCACCAUCUGGAGGCUGAGUCCGAGAUCAGGGUGACCACAGACUUGGUCUCCGAGGCCUCUCUCCUGAGCCUACCCAUCUGGAAGAAAUGAAACACUUUCUCUCAUCCUCUGGAAGCCUGAGCUCUCCUUUCCCUCGCAGGGAGAGCCACUGUUUGUUUUUACUGUUGGAAAGAAUAGAAGAGGAUGUUCCAGAACUGAGUUGGACACCCUGGAAAUGAUUCAUCCAAGGUCAGAACAUGGACGUGAAUGGAGGCGAGUCAGCUUCAACCAUACCAUGAGGACAGUGCUCUAGGAGGUGGCAGAGACACCAGAGAAAUGGAACCCAAGUCAUGGAAUAACCUCAUACUGCAGAGCCACCCUGCGAAUCCUGGACUGCUCACCUUUGGACUAUCA
Cebus imitator (Panamanian white-faced capuchin) is the source of this 763-nucleotide long non-coding RNA. RefSeq lists it as uncharacterized. The transcript has 4 exons. NCBI's taxonomy places the organism in Eukaryota, Metazoa, Chordata, Mammalia, Primates, Cebidae. The record is from RefSeq and is a predicted model, not a curated record.